This 492-nucleotide ribosomal RNA is filed under the name uncultured bacterium. RNAcentral's name for it is "partial 16S ribosomal RNA". It matches the Rfam family "Bacterial small subunit ribosomal RNA", at positions 29 to 507 of the family's 1533-position model. The record is from RNAcentral.
AGUGAACGCUGGCGGUAGGCCUAACACAUGCAAGUCGAACGGCAGCACCGUAAGAGCUUGCUCUUCCGGGUGGCGAGUGGCGGACGGGUGAGGAAUACAUCGGACUCUACUUUUUCGUGGGGGAUCACGUAGGGGAACUUACGCUAAUACCGCAUACGACCUACGGGUGAAAGCAGGGGAUCUUCGGACCUUGCGCGAUUGAAUGAGCCGAUGUCGGAUUAGCUAGUUGGCGGGGUAAAGGCCCACCAAGGCGACGAUCCGUAGCUGGUCUGAGAGGAUGAUCAGCGACACUGGAACUGAGACACGGUCCAGACUCCUACGGGAGGCAGCAGUGGGGAAUAUUGGACAAUGGGCGCAAGCCUGAUCCAGCCAUACCGCGUGGGUGAAGAAGGCCUUCGGGUUGUAAAGCCCUUUUGUUGGGAAAGAAAAGCAGCAGGUUAAUACCCCGCUGUUCUGACGGUACCCAAAGAAGAAGCACCGGCUAACUUCGUG